Equus caballus (horse) is the source of this 1346-nucleotide long non-coding RNA. Lineage: Eukaryota; Metazoa; Chordata; Mammalia; Perissodactyla; Equidae. The record is from Ensembl.
AGUCUUUAGUGCAAACCUAUGAGAGGGGUACCAUGGUUAUGCCCAUUUUAGAGGUGAGGUCCAUGGAGGAGAAGUAGCUUGUCUAGUGUUACAUAACUUGGAUGCUCUGCAACUUCAAUUCCUGUGGAUGAUGGAACACACAAGUACUUUCCAAGACAUAGAUGCCAUACUUUAUGACCCAAGCUGCCUUCUGGAUCAGAAAGAUACUGGAAGCUGUAAAACACACAAAGCCGGGCUUUGUUAUCACCUGAGUGUGCAGAAGGACACGCUGAGUGUGGCCACCUCCUGCUUCUAUCACAUGUCCUCCAUUUUCUCCACUCCACUUUCCUGGGUCCAUCCCUGGAUAGAGGAUGGAAGAAGCCAAAGUAAAACCUGGCUGCCUGGGGCUAGCUGCCUGUCCAUGGAAGGAAGAGAAGCCUGAAGAUAUGCAGUCAAUCUUUGCUAUUAAGCUCCACAUUCAUCAGGGACCCAGGCUCUGCUAUUUUCCUGCUCCCUUGUGGCUUCCAUUUUCAAGGUUUCAAAAUGCCUGCUGCUGGAACUCCUCAGUCUGCACAGCAGGAAGGAGUAAGGGAGCAAAAGAAAUGUGGCACCCUCUGGCCACAUUAGAGACCUCGCAGGAGUCUUUCUAGAUCUCUCUUCCAUGGUCAUUCAGGCCAAAUUAGACCAAGCACACCCAAGACCAGGGCAUGGAUAUCUUACAUCCAAGAGGCGGAUCUGGAGCUCAGAAAAGAAGUCUGGGCUGGAGUGCAAAAUUUGGGACUUGUUAGCAUACAAAUGAUAAUUAAAGCAAGCAUUGUGGAUGAAAUUGUACGGGUGCCUGUUGAGAGGGGAAAAAGAGGAAGGGCUCUGACAUUUAAGCUGGAGAAGGAGCUGGCAAAAACGACUGAGCUUUUUAAAUCUCAGCAUCAGAGAAUCAAUGAGUUGGGGGAGUGGCAGAGGUGAUGUUGAACCUUGCACCUGGAACAGGGGUUCUUGCUUCAGCAUUCCUGGCGGAUGGCGCCCAGCCUGUGCUUUGACAUCUACAGUGCUAGACGGUGCCAAAUGUUGAGACAGUCUUAUACCAAGCAGAAUUGUUUCUCUAUAAUAUCCUGGCCCCUGUUCUGCUUUCUCAUGCGUCAGAAAUCCAGCCUGAUUUUAUUGUUUGCUUGUGCAUAAUAGCUCUUGAAAUAGUGUGGAAUAGUUAAGUGCCUAAUACAUGUAAUGUGAUCAACUGUUAAUGUUGUUUAUACAUUGUUGUUGUUAUCGUGAUUUUCGUUUCAUGCUUGCUCACAGCAAAGGCUUUAAAGCCUGCAUUCUAAUCUUGGGUCUGACCCUUUCUAGCCAUGUCAUGUCAUCUCAAUACCAAG